AAGAAUAAGAAUAUGAUGUUGGUUCAGAUUAAGCGCUAAAUAAGGACAUGACACAUGCGAAUCAUACGUUUAUUAUUGAUAAGAUAAUAAAUAUGUGGUGUAAACGUGAGUAAUUUUAUUAGGAAUAAUGAACUAUAGAAUAAGCUAAAUACUUAAUAAAUAUUUAUAUAAAAAUUUUAUUUAUAUAAUAAAAAAGAAUAUAUUAUAUAUAUUUAUCUAUAGUCAAGCCAAUAAUGGUUUAGGUAGUAGGUUUAUUAAGAGUUAAACCUAGCCAACGAUCCAUAAUCGAUAAUGAAAGUUAGAACGAUCACGUUGACUCUGAAAUAUAGUCAAUAUCUAUAAGAUACAGCAGUGAGGAAUAUUGGACAAUGAUCGAAAGAUUGAUCCAGUUACUUAUUAGGAUGAUAUAUAAAUAAUUUAUAAAAAUUUUAUAAAAAAUAAAUAAAUAAUAUAUAUAUAUAAAUUGAUUAAAAAUAAAAUCCAUAAAUAAUUAAAAUAAUGAUAUUAAUUACCAUAUAUAAUAAUGGAUAUAUAAUAAUUAUAAUAUUUAAUAUAUUAUAAUAUAAUUAUAUAUUUUAAUAGUCCUGACUAAUAUUUGUGCCAGCAGUCGCGGUAACACAAAGAGGGCGAGCGUUAAUCAUAAUGGUUUAAAGGAUCCGUAGAAUGAAUUAAUUAUAUAAUUUAGAGUUAAUAAAUUUAAUUAAAGAAUUAUAAUAGUAAAGAUGAAAUAAUAAUAAUAAUUAUAAGACUAAUAUAUGUGAAAAUAUUAAUUAAAUAUUAACUGACAUUGAGGGAUUAAAACUAGAGUAGCGAAACGGAUUCGAUACCCGUGUAGUUCUAGUAGUAAACUAUGAAUACAAUUAUUUAUAAUAAAAAUAUAUAUAUAAAUAAUAAAUGAAAAUGAAAGUAUUCCACCUGAAGAGUACGUUAGCAAUAAUGAAACUCAAAACAAUAGACGGUUACAGACUUAAGCAGUGGAGCAUGUUAUUUAAUUCGAUAAUCCACGACUAACCUUACCAUAUUUUGAAUAUUAUAAUAAUUAUUUUAAUUAUUAUAUUACAGGCGUUACAUUGUUGUCUUUAGUUCGUGCUGCAAAGUUUUAGAUUAAGUUCAUAAACGAACAAAACUCCAUAUAUAUAAUUUUAAUUAUAUAUAAUUCUAUAUUAUUUAUUAAUAUAAAGAAAGGAAUUAAGACAAAUCAUAAUGAUCCUUAUAAUAUGGGUAAUAGACGUGCUAUAAUAAAAUGAUAAUAAAAUUAUAUAAAAUAUAUAUAAAAUAUAUUUAAUUAAUAAUAUAAAACAUUUUAAUUUUUAAUAUAUUUUUAUAUUAUAUAUUAAUAUGAAUUAUAAUCUGAAAUUCGAUUAUAUGAAAAAAGAAUUGCUAGUAAUACGUAAAUUAGUAUGUUACGGUGAAUAUUCUAACUGUUUCGCACUAAUCACUCAUCACGCGUUGAAACAUAUUAUUAUCUUAUUAUUUAUUAAUAAUUUUUAAAUAACUUUUUAUUAAUUAAUAUUAAUAUAUAUCAGAAAUAAUAUGAAUUAAUGCGAAGUUGAAAUACAGUUACCGUAGGGGAACCUGCGGUGGGCUUAUAAAUAUC
Molecule: non-coding RNA, 1597 nt
Filed under: Saccharomyces paradoxus
Lineage: Eukaryota; Fungi; Ascomycota; Saccharomycetes; Saccharomycetales; Saccharomycetaceae
Description: small subunit ribosomal RNA
Rfam family: Bacterial small subunit ribosomal RNA
Source: RNAcentral